UGGUCCUCUAUGGACAUCUUACUAGACAGUGCUGGAUUUAUUUUAUCUUUUCUAACACUGUCUGGUAACGAUGUUUAAAGAGUGAGCCA
This 89-nucleotide microRNA precursor is filed under the name Xenopus tropicalis (tropical clawed frog). Its description in RNAcentral is "microRNA xtr-mir-200a precursor". Its record names the gene xtr-mir-200a. The stretch from base 10 to 78 matches the Rfam family "mir-8/mir-141/mir-200 microRNA precursor family". Rfam says of the family: The bounds of the precursors are predicted based on conservation and base pairing and are not generally known. Lineage: Eukaryota; Metazoa; Chordata; Amphibia; Anura; Pipidae. The record is from miRBase by way of RNAcentral.